UUUUGGUCAGUCUCGUCUAAAACGGAGUUUGGAACCUCAGUGCAUCACAACAAGAUCACGGACGUUUGAGACUGAAAAGCCCCAUACGGAUUAACCAUGCAAUGCAUGGUUCAAGCAGGAUGCACAGCCAACUGGUUUGCAUGCCCUGUCAAAGGACCCUAUCAUGCAAAAUAGGUGUUUGGAGUUCGUUGGUCCCAAGUGGUGAGUACUAACUAGCAGCAACAAACUCAACCCAACCCACGGCCUACCAGAUGGAAAAAAGCUUGUCAGGCAAUACCUUACAAAAAAAGUGUGUCAUGCGACACAAGUACCCUUGUGACACCACCUCCGUUGUUGCCAGAGUCUCCCUCGACUCCUAUGAAAAGGACACGCCAUCAUGAUGCCUCUGAUAGUGACCCAAGUUACUGCCCUGAGGACACAGACAGCUUCAUCAUCAACGACAGGCCCUCCCAGUCAAGACCACCUCAUAAGAUUGCCUGCAGCAGGUGUUCAAGAGAUGCCCAGGUUGCAGCCGAACAUGCAGCAUUGAGAAGACCAGCAACCUGAUCGCUGUGUUCCCCAUUCUAUUUGACUUCACAUUUUAUGGCAAAGACCUCCCCUCCAGCCUCACCUCUUGCCUGCACUCCAACGGUCGUUGAUAGGGAGAACAGAAUUGGAUGCAUGAGAUGCAGAAAGACCUGGCACUCAACACAUCCACAAUGAGAUGGACUGGAGAUGCUUUUGCCAGACGGCAGCCUCAGUCGUUUGAUGGGGAGACCAUAAUUGGUAGCAGAUGUUGAACUGAAGCUGCUCGGAGCAGGAAGAAGAGGUUGAGCCAAAACCAGCAAGACACUAGACGGGGGCUCGUCUCAGCCUGAAGUCAGAGAGCCAGGAAACAAUCAACACAAUUCAAUAAUCACCAGCUAGGACUGUCUGUUCAUAUGGAGUCAAGGCAUUUCUCUGGGUUUAUUUACCUUGGAUCCAAUUCCAUUUGCUUUUUAAUUUCAUGGCCAAGUGGACCUCCCUGACUUCCUGGACUUCCACCCGGGGUCGGACCCCCCCCCCUUCCCUGCCUUCCCUCCCCCUGAAAACACAAACUGCGGGCACAAAGGUCACGCCACUCUCCUACAAGCCACACAUACACACGAUGAAGAGGUCCCUGGCUGCAUACUCACACGGACGCACGCACGUAUGCAUGCACACGCACACACACACACACACACACACACACACACACACACACACACACACACACACACACACACACACACACACACACACACACACACACACACACACACACACACACACACACACACACACACACACACACACACACACACACACACACGAACACACGCAAGCACUGUGCGCACACACUUACAGAUACAGCUGUCCCUGGAUCACUUUGCUUGUUUCCCCUGACAUCGUCCAUGUAGGAAACACACACGGCUGUGGCUAUCAGUCGAGUCUCUGCACAGCAUAAAGAUGUCAUCGAACAGCGACUGUAAAUCUCACUCAGUCUUCCUAGGGAGGAGGAUGUGCUGUGUCACGAGGCAGAAUACAGAGUUUCCAGCACUGUGAC
Long non-coding RNA from Oncorhynchus gorbuscha (pink salmon), 1564 nucleotides. RefSeq lists it as uncharacterized. The transcript has 10 exons. Lineage: Eukaryota; Metazoa; Chordata; Actinopteri; Salmoniformes; Salmonidae. The record is from RefSeq and is a predicted model, not a curated record.